GCAGAUGUUUGCUAUGUUGGAGGAAUCGGGACGGCCUGGUGGAAAACUGAUGGACAGAACUUCGGUCUGCUUCAUAAGUGGAGAAGUUUUUGGAGAAGCCACCGAUGACCUGGAGAGUAGACGUUAAGCAAGUUUAGGUAGUACCGCAAUGGAAGGGUCGAAUGCAGCGCUCAAGCCGAGACUCAGGUUUGACUGGAUGGGCAGUCAACUCGUGAACUUGUGAAUUAUCAUUAAACUUUAUCAUUAUCUUUAAAAUGUAACACAUUUUUUGUGUCAGAGAUAUCAUUAUAGAACAAGAGCAGAAGAGAAAGAAUACUACUUAAACAAUUACAAAAAACACAUUCGUUCUCAAUUUUGUAUAGAAUUUAUUUUGCAUUUUUUGUAAAUGUUUAAACAGUCUUUUCAUCAUUUGAAGUGACCAUCUGUUAUGUGGCGUAAACAAUGUUGCUGUCCAACAGGAUUCGAAGAACUAGUCAGGAGCCACAGGUUCAAAACUGAGAGUAUUUACUAGAGUUCAAUUACACAGGGUGGUAAAGCUCAAUGAAUAGAAGAACACCUCCCUUUUCUUCAAUCGUAUUGUAUGAUACUCUUCACUAAGAGUGUGUGCCUACAUAUUCUAGGUUUUAUGCAUUACCAUUACCAUCUAUGUACUUCUCCAGUUGAUAUCUAUGAAAAACCUUCAACAUUACCAAAUACUGCGCAUGCAUUUUACAAUUUACAAAUACAGAAUAAAAUGGUACACAACACAGCUCAAGUCAACAUUACAGUUUGUGGGAAAAAAGGCCUAAUACAUCAUUCUUAAAACAGUUUCAAUUUUAAGGCUUUUAGAGGCUUUUUAAAGCUACAAGAAUAGGGAGACAUUAGAAAACAUAAAUGUGAGAUCAUGGCUUACAGAAAUAUAUACCUGUAAUACUGAUAUGUUGUUAAACCCUUAAGCAUGGUAAAAAUGAAUUCAGGUAAUAUUACAAACAUUU
This is a long non-coding RNA of Labeo rohita (rohu), 974 nucleotides long. RefSeq lists it as uncharacterized. NCBI's taxonomy places the organism in Eukaryota, Metazoa, Chordata, Actinopteri, Cypriniformes, Cyprinidae. The record is from RefSeq and is a predicted model, not a curated record. The transcript is spliced from 2 exons.